Molecule: ribosomal RNA, 253 nt
Filed under: uncultured bacterium
Lineage: Bacteria
Description: partial 16S ribosomal RNA
Rfam family: Bacterial small subunit ribosomal RNA
Source: RNAcentral
UACGAAGGGGGCUAGCGUUGCUCGGAAUCACUGGGCGUAAAGCGCACGUAGGCGGAUUGCUAAGUCAGGGGUGAAAUCCUGGAGCUCAACUCCAGAACUGCCUUUGAUACUGGCGAUCUUGAGUCCGGGAGAGGUGAGUGGAACUGCGAGUGUAGAGGUGAAAUUCGUAGAUAUUCGCAAGGACACCAGUGGCGAAGGCGGCUCACUGGCCCGGUACUGACGCUGAGGUGCGAAAGCGUGGGGAGCAAACAGG